AACGAACGCUGGCGGCAUGCCUAACACAUGCAAGUCGAACGAGACCUUCGGGUCUAGUGGCGCAAGGGUGCGUAACGCGGGGGAACCUGCCCUUAGGUUCGGAAUAACUCCCCGAAAGGGGUGCUAAUACCGGAUAAUGUCUUCGGACCAAAGAUUUAUCGCCUUUGGAUGGGCCCGCGUUGGAUUAGCUAGUUGGUAGGGUAAAAGCCUACCAAGGCGACGAUCCAUAGCUGGUCUGAGAGGAUGAUCAGCCACACUGGGACUGAGACACGGCCCAGACUCCUACGGGAGGAAGCAGUGGGGAAUAUUGGACAAUGGGCGAAAGCCUGAUCCAGCAAUGCCGCGUGAGUGAUGAAGGCCUUAGGGUUGUAAAGCUCUUUUACCCGGGAUGAUAAUGACAGUACCGGGAGAAUAAGCUCCGGCUAACUCCGUG
RNAcentral lists this ribosomal RNA (433 nucleotides) under uncultured bacterium. Its description in RNAcentral is "partial 16S ribosomal RNA". It matches the Rfam family "Bacterial small subunit ribosomal RNA", at positions 29 to 507 of the family's 1533-position model. The record is from RNAcentral.